This 425-nucleotide long non-coding RNA is filed under the name Salmo salar (Atlantic salmon). RNAcentral's name for it is "lncRNA (ENSSSAG00000103432.1)". Lineage: Eukaryota; Metazoa; Chordata; Actinopteri; Salmoniformes; Salmonidae. The record is from RNAcentral.
GGGUACUGUAGGUAGGGGUAAGGUAACAACAGGUAGCCUCAAUAUUAACAGAGGGUACUGUAGGUAGGGGUAAGGUAGAGGCAGGUAGUCUCAAUAUUAACAGAAGGUACUGUAGGUAGGGGUAAGGUAACAACAGGUAGUCUCAAUAUUAACAGAGGGUACUGUAGGUAGGGGUAAGGUAACAACAGGUAGUCUCAAUAUUAACAGAGGGUACUGUAGGUAGGGGUAAGGUAGAGGCAGGUAGCCUCAAUAUUAACAGAGGGUCCUGUAGGUAGGGGUAAGGUAGAGGCAGGUAGCCUUGAGGUUACAGUGCUGGGCCAGAAACCGAAAGGUUGCAGGUUUGAGUACCGGAGCGGACAAGGUGAAAAAUAUGUUGUGCCCUUGAACAAGGCACUUCAUCCUAAUUGCUCCAGGGGCGCUGUACG